Molecule: ribosomal RNA, 463 nt
Filed under: uncultured bacterium
Lineage: Bacteria
Description: partial 16S ribosomal RNA
Rfam family: Bacterial small subunit ribosomal RNA
Source: RNAcentral
GACGAACGCUGGCGGCGUGCUUAACACAUGCAAGUCGAACGGUGAACCUCUUCGUAGGGGAGCAGUGGCGGACGGGUGAGUAACACGUGGGCAACCUGCCCCCGGCUCGGGGAUAACUACAAGAAAGUGGGGCUAAUACCAGAUCUUCACCGCUUCCCGCAUGGGUGGUGGUGGAAAGGAUUUCCGGCUGGGGGUGGGCCCGCGGCCUAUCAGCUUGUUGGUGGGGUAGUGGCCUACCAAGGCGACGACGGGUAGCCGGCCUGAGAGGGUGAACGGCCACACUGGGACUGAGACACGGCCCAGACUCCUACGGGAGGCAGCAGUGGGGAAUAUUGCGCAAUGGGCGGAAGCCUGACGAAGCGACGCCGCGUGGGGGAUGACGGCCUUCGGGUUGUAAACCUCUUUCAGCAGGGACGAAGCGCUAGUGACGGUACCUGCAGAAGAAGCACCGGCUAACUACGUG